GAUGAACGCUGGCGGCGUGCCUAAUACAUGCAAGUCGAGCGAACAGACGAGGAGCUUGCUCCUCUGAUGUUAGCGGCGGACGGGUGAGUAACACGUGGAUAACCUACCUAUAAGACUGGGAUAACUUCGGGAAACCGGAGCUAAUACCGGAUAACAUGUUGAACCGCAUGGUUCAACAGUGAAAGACGGUCUUGCUGUCACUUAUAGAUGGAUCCGCGCCGCAUUAGCUAGUUGGUAAGGUAACGGCUUACCAAGGCAACGAUGCGUAGCCGACCUGAGAGGGCGAUCGGCCACACUGGAACUGAGACACGGUCCAGACUCCUACGGGAGGCAGCAGUAGGGAAUCUUCCGCAAUGGGCGAAAGCCUGACGGAGCAACGCCGCGUGAGUGAAGAAGGUCUUCGGAUCGUAAAACUCUGUUAUUAGGGAAGAACAAAUGUGUAAGUAACUAUGCACGUCUUGACGGUACCUAAUCAGAAAGCCACGGCUAACUACGU
Molecule: ribosomal RNA, 496 nt
Filed under: uncultured bacterium
Lineage: Bacteria
Description: partial 16S ribosomal RNA
Rfam family: Bacterial small subunit ribosomal RNA
Source: RNAcentral